RNAcentral lists this ribosomal RNA (918 nucleotides) under Leuconostoc pseudomesenteroides. RNAcentral describes it as "bacterial SSU rRNA". It matches the Rfam family "Bacterial small subunit ribosomal RNA", at positions 41 to 942 of the family's 1533-position model. Lineage: Bacteria; Bacillati; Bacillota; Bacilli; Lactobacillales; Lactobacillaceae. The record is from RNAcentral.
GGCGUGCUAUACAUGCAAGUCGAACGCACAGCGAAAGGUGCUUGCACCUUUCAAGUGAGUGGCGAACGGGUGAGUAACACGUGGACAACCUGCCUCAAGGCUGGGGAUAACAUUUGGAAACAGAUGCUAAUACCGAAUGAAACUUAGUGUCGCAUGAUACGAAGUUAAAAGGCGCUUUGGCGUCACCUAGAGAUGGAUCCGCGGUGCAUUAGUUAGUUGGUGGGGUAAAGGCCUACCAAGACAAUGAUGCAUAGCCGAGUUGAGAGACUGAUCGGCCACAUUGGGACUGAGACACGGCCCAAACUCCUACGGGAGGCUGCAGUAGGGAAUCUUCCACAAUGGGCGAAAGCCUGAUGGAGCAACGCCGCGUGUGUGAUGAAGGCUUUCGGGUCGUAAAGCACUGUUGUAUGGGAAGAACAGCUAGAAUAGGGAAUGAUUUUAGUUUGACGGUACCAUACCAGAAAGGGACGGCUAAAUACGUGCCAGCAGCCGCGGUAAUACGUAUGUCCCGAGCGUUAUCCGGAUUUAUUGGGCGUAAAGCGAGCGCAGACGGUUGAUUAAGUCUGAUGUGAAAGCCCGGAGCUCAACUCCGGAAUGGCAUUGGAAACUGGUUAACUUGAGUGCAGUAGAGGUAAGUGGAACUCCAUGUGUAGCGGUGGAAUGCGUAGAUAUAUGGAAGAACACCAGUGGCGAAGGCGGCUUACUGGACUGUAACUGACGUUGAGGCUCGAAAGUGUGGGUAGCAAACAGGAUUAGAUACCCUGGUAGUCCACACCGUAAACGAUGAACACUAGGUGUUAGGAGGUUUCCGCCUCUUAGUGCCGAAGCUAACGCAUUAAGUGUUCCGCCUGGGGAGUACGACCGCAAGGUUGAAACUCAAAGGAAUUGACGGGGACCCGCACAAGCGGUGGAGCAUGU